ACGGAGGGUGCAAGCGUUAUCCGGAUUUAUUGGGUUUAAAGGGUGCGUAGGCGGAAAUAUAAGUCAGUGGUGAAAUCUUGCAGCUUAACUGUAAAACUGCCAUUGAUACUGUGUUUCUUGAGUAUAGUUGAGGUAGGCGGAAUGUGUAAUGUAGCGGUGAAAUGCUUAGAUAUUACACAGAACACCGAUUGCGUAGGCAGCUUACUAAGCUAUAACUGACGCUGAGGCACGAAAGCGUGGGGAGCGAACAGG
This 252-nucleotide ribosomal RNA is filed under the name uncultured bacterium. Its description in RNAcentral is "partial 16S ribosomal RNA". It matches the Rfam family "Bacterial small subunit ribosomal RNA", at positions 525 to 776 of the family's 1533-position model. The record is from RNAcentral.